RNAcentral lists this ribosomal RNA (454 nucleotides) under uncultured bacterium. RNAcentral describes it as "partial 16S ribosomal RNA". It matches the Rfam family "Bacterial small subunit ribosomal RNA", at positions 339 to 795 of the family's 1533-position model. The record is from RNAcentral.
CUACGGGGGGCAGCAGUGAGGAAUAUUGCGCAAUGGGCGAAAGCCUGACGCAGCGACGCCGCGUGGGGGAUGAAGGUCUUCGGAUUGUAAACCCCUUUCGGGAGGGAAGAUGGGACGAGCAAUCGUUCGGACGGUACCUCCAGAAGCAGCCACGGCUAACUUCGUGCCAGCAGCCGCGGUAAUACGAAGGUGGCAAGCGUUGUUCGGAUUUACUGGGCGUAAAGGGAGCGUAGGCGGUUUGGUAAGCCCUCCGGGAAAUCUUCGGGCUUAACCCGGAAAGGUCGGAGGGGACUGCCUGGCUAGAGGACGGGAGAGGAGCGCGGAAUUCCCGGUGUAGCGGUGAAAUGCGUAGAGAUCGGGAGGAAGGCCGGUGGCGAAGGCGGCGCUCUGGAACGUUCCUGACGCUGAGGCUCGAAAGCGUGGGGAGCAAACAGGAUUAGAUACCCUUGUAGUC